UCGCCUGUUUAACAAAAACAUAGCUAUAUGAUUUAAUAUAUAGUUAUUUCUGCUCCAUGAUAAUUAAAUAGCCGCAGUACCCUGACUGUGCAAAGGUAGCAUAAUCAGUUGGCUUUUAAUUAGAGUCUGGUAUGAAUGAAAAUAUGGGUGGUAACUGUCUCUGACAUAUUAAUUUGAACUUUUUUUAGCAAGUGCAAAUACUUGCGAGGGUAAAAAAGACGAGAAGACCCUAGAAACUUGAAGUAGUUUUUGUUGGGGCGACAAAAUUACAUUUAACUGAUUGUAUAAAACAUGACAUUUAUUUGCAAGAAUAAGUUACUCUAGGGAUAACAGCAUAAUUUUAACAGUUUGUGACCUCGAUGUUGGAUUAGGUAUUAUAUUCUUAAGGUAAGAAUAUAAAAUGCUCUGUUCGAGCAGUUUCACCUACAUGAUCUGAGUUCAGACCGGCGUAAGCCAGAGAUCUGAGUUCAGACCGGCGUAAGCC
Molecule: ribosomal RNA, 484 nt
Filed under: Helix ceratina
Lineage: Eukaryota; Metazoa; Mollusca; Gastropoda; Stylommatophora; Helicidae
Description: Tyrrhenaria ceratina partial 16S ribosomal RNA
Rfam family: Archaeal large subunit ribosomal RNA
Source: RNAcentral